Non-coding RNA from Physcomitrium patens, 2643 nucleotides. The record is from RefSeq and is a predicted model, not a curated record. Lineage: Eukaryota; Viridiplantae; Streptophyta; Bryopsida; Funariales; Funariaceae.
ACGCAAACCUUUUCGCACCCCUUUUUACAAGGUGCUUGCUGUACUGUUGUCUCGUCACUGUUUUUCUUCCUGCUUACAUCUCUCACUUCGUUGAUCUAAAAGUAGUGAAGUGGAAUGCACCAGAGCCAUAGUAGAGAACGGGAGUUAAAGCAGAUAGUAGGGGAGCCUUAGUAAGAAAAUCACGGGAGCUUCAUCUGCUUACAAGGAUAGUGGUCCCGUGUUGUUUUGUUUCAAGACGGAAUGUGACUGCUCGGGUGGAGGCGAAUUGUGGGCGUCGCCGAGCUCCUAGAUGAUCGAUGAACUGUUUGAUGCCGUAGAACGGCUCCUGCUCCUGUGGGUUUGAGUUCGAAGUCUGUCACCAGCACAGGGAUUGGGGAGAUGCGUGUAGCUAGAGUAAUGCGUAUUUCAGAGCCUGAUUCUCGCCACUGACAGGUUCGAACGGAUAUUUUGACAUCCUUUCUACUGAGGGGCACUCGUGGCAAUGGAGACACAAUAGUCAGACCGGUGAGUAAAAAAAUUGGGAAUCGGGAAUUCAUUUACAGAUCCAGCAUAUUCGAAAUUAUAAUUGAAACUAUGGGGUAUGCACCGCAAUGGAACACUGUGGCCACCAAGGGAAAUCACCGCGCUUCAACGAAAUCGAGACUUGCUGUAGGGCGGAGGGCAUACGUCGCAAUCGGCGCCGUCUUGGUUUUCCUUUUGUACACAUGGAUUGGAUAUGAUGAGAUGCGACUGGGACCUCGAACUUCAUCGAGGUUCAAGCAGACUCUGAGAUCAGGGGGUAUUGCCGGGCAAGAAUGCGAACAAAGUGCUGAACCAAGUCAGGAAGGAAUUAGAUCUUUAGGGUCAUACGCCACGAACGCUUUAGAGAGUUGUGAAUCGGCUGGACCAGAUCUUCCCGUAGGGUACAACUUCGAAGCUACCAAACUCACCCCGGAGGAAUGCGAAGGCCGGCACGUUUACAUGUACGACCCGCCAACCGAGUUCACCGUUGAUAUCAUCAAAAACUGCCAGAACUGGUCAACGUGGUGGACGAUGUGCGAAGACGCGCAGAACGGCGGAUUUGGGGUGCGAUUGAGACUGCGAAAGUCCGACCCCCUGUCGAGUAUCACCCAACCCCCCGAUUCUUGGUAUCGAACUGAGCAGUUCACCCUAGACAUGUCCUGGCACAGCCGAAUGAAGACCUACCCCUGCCUGACUGACGACCCAAACGAGGCUUCCAUUUUCUACGUCCCCUUCUAUCACAGCCCCGAUUUGACUCGAAACUUGAAGAAUCCCAACAUGACGGAAACAGAUUACUUGACUACACGAUUCGUCAAGUGGUUGGGCAAACAGGCGCCAUAUCAGCGCUAUGGCGGCAGGCGCCACUUCAUCGUCAUGGGCCGCAUCUUCUGGGACCACAAUCGGCUUUUCAAUUCCACGCACGGUUGGGGAAGCUCUCUCUUCUCGCAGCCGGAGCUGAAAAAUGUCUUCAAGGUCAUGAUCGAGCGAAGCGAAUGGGCGGCAGACACAAUCGCCAUCCCAUACCCUACGAACUUCCAUCCCACAUCUGAGGCCGCGUUGCAAGCCUGGGAGGCUAAGAUCCGAGUCGCGAAACGCACUAAGCUGAUCUCUUUCGCUGCAUCCGACCGAAGUCGAAACAUGACGGGCAUGGUGCGUGGUGAGCUCUUCGACCAGUGUUCCAAAUCUAAAACCUGUAAUCACGUCAUUUGCUCCACGGAGCUCUGUGUAUUCCGGCCCCAGACAAUUUAUAAGAUCUCCCUCGAAUCCGUCUUCUGUCUAGAACCUGGAGGCGACAGCCCCACACGCAAAGGCAUCUUCGAUUCUCUCAUCACGGGAUGCAUUCCAGUCCUCUUCAACACGAAUCAAGCUGUGAAGAUGUACUUGUGGCAUCUACCAGGCAAUGGCAGCGACUAUUCCAUCCUGAUAGACGAAAAUAAGGUUGUGAACGACCACUACGAUGUGAUGCAGCACCUGGAGCGCAUUCCGAAGGAGGAGAUCGCCCGGAUACAGGAAAAUAUAUUCGCCAUGUUUCCGCGGCUCUUGUACAGAAACACAAAACUGACGGGCGAGUACAAAACCAAGGAUGCGUUCGACAUCACAAUCGACAAGCUUCUCCAAAAGCUCCCCGCUGAGGACAAGACCUCAGGCAAUCACACCACCAUCGCGUUUUGGACACACACACCUUGGAAGAAAGGAAAGGUCACGGAUGGUUGUUGAUCGUGAUCACAACUGGAGAGAUGAAGCUAAUUGUGUCGGUGAGGCUUUGCUUGUGGAACUAGGAUACCGCUCUUCUACAUGCUACUUUUGACGGUGUCUGAGGGAUGGUCCCUUCGGUGGUCCUGCGGACUGGUCAACGGGCAAGGCCAAGCGGUAGUGGCUCUUGCAAAGUAUUGUCCUCGGAAGAAAAUUUGAAACUGGCGGAAAAGUGUACUAGCAUUUUUUUUUUGCCAACUUGCAUCGUACCACACCGCACAUUCUGUUGCUAUUCUCCAGUGUGGUGCAGUGACUUUCACUGCACCACAUAUUCCUUUUUCAAACCUACAUUACAAGUCUUGUUGCACACAGACAUUACAAGCCUUGUUGUGUACAGAAAUCAAACCAUGUAAACCGAGUAAAGGCUAUGGUGUUUAUUUUUUUUAGAAU